This 1375-nucleotide long non-coding RNA is filed under the name Salmo salar (Atlantic salmon). RNAcentral describes it as "lncRNA (ENSSSAG00000117497.1)". Lineage: Eukaryota; Metazoa; Chordata; Actinopteri; Salmoniformes; Salmonidae. The record is from RNAcentral.
GUUGGGGUUGCUGUUGGACACACCGGACCUGAACCCGGGUAUUUCCUGUUUUUUCUCCCUUCCAAGGCCACCUGAUUCUUGAGAUAGUUUAGUUGACUCUGUACAUUGAGUAUCUGUCCUUCAGUUGUCAGUAGCCCAAGUAACUUUUCUUCUUGUCCUUUUUCCUUGUUUGCUUGCCGGGCCUUUCACAAUUUCCCUUACGACUCGGCAUUUCUCCAAAUCAAAUGAACCCGUUUUGGGAUAAUAUUGAUAUUUUUUUCUUUCUUUCUUUGUCCACUUAUACCAUUUCUCCAAAAAAAAAAAAAACCCACACCAGGUCCUUCUUCAGGAAUGGGUAUUUACCUUGCAGAUACGCGUAGUAUCUGGCUUCGUUGGAGUACGGUCGCUAGGAGCCUCUCUAUAUUCCGUUGCCAUGGUGUUUUAUGGUUGUUUAUUUAACGAACGAGCUGCGUGUAACGUUGGGCUAAGUGGAAUUUUUUUUUUUUCUUCUAUGUGUUGGUCCUUUUUUUUUACGUCACGUUUCCCCCCCACCUGUUUUUAAAUAUUCUACGUGGCUACUCUACCCUCUCUAUCAGUGUGUGUGUGUGGGGGGAGGAGGGUAGUUCCUGUGUGAUACAAGGAAACUCGAUUCUAUUCUAUGUAUGGUCAGUCACUUUUCUUUUAGUUUAACCCCGUUCGUUAAACCACGCUACCGUGUAGAAGGAACGACAUUAUACAUGUACUUAAUGUAAAAUAGGUUUCGCUCUCACUGGAAUAUCUACGAUCUCCGUCUAUUCUUUCAUUAUGGGUGUAUUGGUACAGAUAUUUCAUAUGUGGAUUUUAAUAAUAAUUUUUAAUAAUAAUAAUUGAUUACUAUCAAACGUUCUUUUUUUUAUAAUAAUCCAAAAUCUAAUCUCACACACCUAUUAUCGUGUUGUUGAUUUGGAUAAAACCCAUACACUAUGAUCAAAUGCUUUUAGUUCAAAAACAUUUUUUUGGGGGGGGGGCCCAUCUUCCAAUUUUCCAAUCUCACCAAUUUAUAAAUCAUACAUUUAGAACACAAUACAGAAAUAAACACAAUUAUAGUCCUCCACACAGGUCAGGACAGAAAUAAACAAAAUUAUAGUCCUCCACACAGGUCAGGACAGAAAUAAACAAAAUUAUAGUCCUCCACACAGGUCAGGACAGAAAUAAACAAAAUUAUAGUCCUCCACACAGGUCAGGACAGAAAUAAACAAAACAUUGUGUACACAAAACCAGCAUUUUCAACAGGCACGACGGCCUAAACCACAGCUUUAUACCAAGUUUCACACCAGGUCCUGUAACAGUCAGAAAUUCCUAACUAUACACCCGAAAUGGUUUGUGUCCAUAGAUCAACAUUCACAUGUUAACACAC